Non-coding RNA from Schistosoma mansoni, 38 nucleotides. The record is from Rfam. NCBI's taxonomy places the organism in Eukaryota, Metazoa, Platyhelminthes, Trematoda, Strigeidida, Schistosomatidae.
AUCCAGCUGACGAGUCCCGAAUAGGACGCAUCCUGGAU